RNAcentral lists this non-coding RNA (26 nucleotides) under Mus musculus (house mouse). Lineage: Eukaryota; Metazoa; Chordata; Mammalia; Rodentia; Muridae. The record is from RNAcentral.
UGCGAAAAGGUCUACGCAAGGCAUAA